CACAGACUGCUCUUCUCCGAGAGGCUCUCCAGCGUCUUGAUGCUCUUGAGCGAAAGUAUGAGCAGCACAGACUAACGUUACACGAAGAACCUUACAACGCUUCGAAAAGAAUGAAAAGGGCACCUGAUGUGAGCAUUGCGGAAUCUGUAAGGCGCCUCCAUAAUUCAGAGAACAACCCACACAAAUACGAUCCACAAACCGGAAUAAAUUCAUCACAUAACGUGGCUGUGACCACUUACCUCUUCGAAGAAUUAAGGACAACUUUUACAGACGUUGAACAAGAAUUUGUAAAAGCAGGUUGCAAGAUGUAUUUUGAGACUUUGCGGAGGAAGUAUUCU
This is a long non-coding RNA of Rhinichthys klamathensis goyatoka, 338 nucleotides long. RefSeq lists it as uncharacterized. The transcript has 4 exons. Lineage: Eukaryota; Metazoa; Chordata; Actinopteri; Cypriniformes; Leuciscidae. The record is from RefSeq and is a predicted model, not a curated record.